Molecule: unclassified non-coding RNA, 380 nt
Filed under: uncultured Verrucomicrobiae bacterium
Lineage: Bacteria; Pseudomonadati; Verrucomicrobiota; Verrucomicrobiia
Description: contains 16S-23S intergenic spacer region
Source: RNAcentral
UCCGGCUUAUCACCGGCGGUUUCUUUAGAGUGCCCAACUAAAUGAUGGCAACUAAAGACGAGGGUUGCGCUCGUUGCGGGACUUAACCCAACAUCUCACGACACGAGCUGACGACAGCCAUGCAGCACCUGUGCAUCCUGGUAUUGCUACCUCGUCAGGCUUUCACCCUUCUACUAGAUGCAUGUCAAGGCCAGGUAAGGUUCUUCGCGUUGCAUCGAAUUGAGCCACAUACUCCACCGCUUGUGCAGGCCCCCGUCAAUUUCUUUGAGUUUUAAUCUUGCGACCGUACUUCCCAGGCGGCACGUUUAUCGCGUUAGCUUCGCCACAAAAGGGGUCGAUUCCUUUUACAGCAAACGUGCACCGUUUAUGGCAUGGACUAC